GUGAUUUUACGUUUGGUAAUUGCAUGAUGGAUUUGAAGCAAUGCUAUUAAUUGAGUGUCUUCCAGGUAAAACUGCUCUGACAUUCAACAUCCAGGUGCUGCAGAGUGGACGAGAAUAUGGACUGUCAUUUCCUUCAUACAUGCCGGGUUAGACGGUUGCAUUUCAACGCGGCAGCUAAAAUUGCAGCGGUUGACUAAAUAUGGAUGUGCAGCCGCAACAUUAAAGAGGGAGACAUAAUUGAAGAACAUAACUACAGGACAUCCCAGAAUAAGGUUUUCUCUCUCAAGCCAGGAAUCCUCCCAUCAGACACAUGAAGUUAUAUUUUCACAGGAAGCUGAACUACAUCCAGAAAGCACUCGGUGUCAAAGUUAACUGGUUAUGAUGUCCUUGGAGUCUGUUCCUCUUUUGACUCCAGGUGCGGGACAACUUGAGGUCCUUCUACCUCUUGAAUGAAGCCCAGCCAUCCACUAUGUUGCCAGCUCAAGAGCAACACCUACCAGUCCCUAUUCUGCUCGUACUGCCCUGGCCAUCGUGCUCUCCUCCUAUGGAAACCCCAGCUUUACCCUCCCCUUCCGGACAAUCUACCUCCAGGGAGCAACUAACUGCUCUCCUCCCCUCUGGCUAUCCCUUCCCCAGUUCUCCUGUUAAAU
This is a long non-coding RNA of Oreochromis aureus, 650 nucleotides long. The record is from Ensembl. NCBI's taxonomy places the organism in Eukaryota, Metazoa, Chordata, Actinopteri, Cichliformes, Cichlidae.